This 587-nucleotide ribosomal RNA is filed under the name Candidatus Roizmanbacteria bacterium CG17_big_fil_post_rev_8_21_14_2_50_39_7. RNAcentral describes it as "bacterial SSU rRNA". It matches the Rfam family "Bacterial small subunit ribosomal RNA", at positions 926 to 1533 of the family's 1533-position model. Lineage: Bacteria; Candidatus Roizmaniibacteriota. The record is from RNAcentral.
CAACCAGUGGAACAUGUGGUUUAAUUUGAUGCAAACCAAAGAACCUCACCAAGUUUUGACAUGCUAGCGUCCAGUUCUGUGGAAACAUGGAAUGUUCGCAAGAAGGCUAGCACAGGUGCUGCAUGGCUGUCGUCAGCUCGUUCCGUGAGGAGUGCCCUUAAGUGGGACAACGAGCGCAACCCCCAUCUUGUGUUAAAUUUGUCACAAGAAACUGCUCCGCCUUUGGCGGAGAGGAAGGAGGGGCAGACGUCAAGUCAGCAUGGUCCUUAUAACUUGGGCUACACACAUGUUACAAUGAAGGAGACAAAGAGUAUUGCGACACUGUAAAGUGAAGCAAAUCCCUUAAACUCAUUCUCAGUGGGGAUUGGGGUCUGAAACUCGACCCCAUGAACGCGGAAUUGGUAGUAAUCGCAGGUCAGUCACACUGCGGUGAAUACGUUCUUGCCUCUUGCACACACCGCCCGUCAAGCCAACAAAGUCGAGUAUAUCUGAACUCCGAUUUAUCGGGGGAGGAUACAUCCGGCGAUGGGGGUUAAGUCGUAACAAGGUAUCCGUACUGGAAGGUGCGGAUGGAUCACCUCCUUUCU